Molecule: ribosomal RNA, 101 nt
Filed under: Frullania polysticta
Lineage: Eukaryota; Viridiplantae; Streptophyta; Jungermanniopsida; Porellales; Frullaniaceae
Also listed under: 3 other names
Description: partial 26S ribosomal RNA
Rfam family: Eukaryotic large subunit ribosomal RNA
Source: RNAcentral
UGGACCUCAGAUCAGGCAAGAUCACCCGCUGAGUUUAAGCAUAUCACUAAGCGGAGGAAAAGAAACUAACGAGGAUUUCCUUAGUAACGGCGAGCGAACCG